GCGGGAUUAAUAUAGUGGUAGUAUAUUACCUUCCCAAGGUAAAUGUGCCAGUUCGAUUCUGGUAUCCCGCUCCA
This 74-nucleotide transfer RNA is filed under the name Patescibacteria group bacterium. Its description in RNAcentral is "tRNA-Gly". It matches the Rfam family "tRNA". From Rfam's summary of the family: Transfer RNA (tRNA) molecules are approximately 80 nucleotides in length. Their secondary structure includes four short double-helical elements and three loops (D, anti-codon, and T loops). The record is from RNAcentral.